RNAcentral lists this ribosomal RNA (261 nucleotides) under uncultured Streptococcaceae bacterium. Its description in RNAcentral is "partial 16S ribosomal RNA". It matches the Rfam family "Bacterial small subunit ribosomal RNA", at positions 505 to 766 of the family's 1533-position model. Lineage: Bacteria; Bacillati; Bacillota; Bacilli; Lactobacillales; Streptococcaceae. The record is from RNAcentral.
GUGCCAGCCGCCGCGGUAAUACGUAGGUCCCGAGCGUUGUCCGGAUUUAUUGGGCGUAAAGCGAGCGCAGGCGGUUAGAUAAGUCUGAAGUUAAAGGCUGUGGCUUAACCAUAGUACGCUUUGGAAACUGUUUAACUUGAGUGCAAGAGGGGAGAGUGGAAUUCCAUGUGUAGCGGUGAAAUGCGUAGAUAUAUGGAGGAACACCGGUGGCGAAAGCGGCUCUCUGGCUUGUAACUGACGCUGAGGCUCGAAAGCGUGGGG